This is a long non-coding RNA of Rhinolophus ferrumequinum (greater horseshoe bat), 1360 nucleotides long. RefSeq lists it as uncharacterized. NCBI's taxonomy places the organism in Eukaryota, Metazoa, Chordata, Mammalia, Chiroptera, Rhinolophidae. The record is from RefSeq and is a predicted model, not a curated record. The transcript has 3 exons.
CGAGGUGAGGCAGGAGGGAAAGGAGUUGCCUGAGAUCUGCUGUCUCCAGCAACAUUCCCAUCCUUUAGGAACUGGAUCCUUACCAGGAGACUGUCAGGCAGGGUUUAUUGGGAUUAUUUUUAUUUCUACAAGAGACUGAAGGUAGGACAAGCAGUUCUUGGUCUCUCCCAAUAAACCGGGCACCAGCGGCUGAAGCCCACGUGCUCGGCGCGACCCCAGGAAGCUGAACCUGACUGCAUGGCGUCACUCAGCCCUCAGAGCAUCCUCCGGGACAGACGAGAGACAGCGGCCACAAGCAGCUGCCAUCCCAGCUCACACCCUCCUCCCUUUCCAGCUGUCGGGAGGCUCAGAAAGAUGAUGACCCCGCUACCUGUGUCCCAAAUGUCUUGGCAUCACGGCCACCGACCCUGGAUGGAGAGGCGCUGCUUCCCCGAGCAAGCACGGAGCGGGCCCCUGGGCAGACAUGGAGUCUGGUGAUGUCACCCUCAUCUCCUCAUGCAGCUGAUCAUUAGGACACAAGAUGACUCUCCUGGGACGAGUGACAAGUGCGACCUGUUUCCUCCUGGUCUCAGCAUCCUGCGUGUAGGUGCUGUGGCCAGGUCAAAGGCGGACAGGAAGCCAAGAGGGGCAUCGGGGGCUGGCUGGCUGGCAGAGGGGCACUCAGGGCCUGGGAGGGGUUGGAGGACAGGCCAGAGUCGGGCUGCAGGAGCAGGGGCUGAGCUCAGUCACAAAGGGAAAGUCUCAGAGGAGGCGGCCAGCCAGGUGGCGAUCAGGAGAGGGAAAGUAAAUAGGUGACUCCGUGCUAGGCCCACCACCCCAGGAACGUGCCAACCCUAAGACAGUCCCCUUUUAGUGCGUGAAGAUGGGCACAGCCCUCACCUCCUCAGGGUGGGGCACAGAGCCAGCAGCUUGACCCCCGGUCCCCUCAGUAAGAGGAGCCAGUAAAGAGGACAUGAAUGAGGGCAAGUGGGAAUAUGGGACAGGCAGGAGGCCUUCCUGGGAGUUAGGAACCGGAGGCUGAGCUUCAGCUGCCUGAGUCUUUCUCUGUCCCUUCUUAUCCCCUCCUGAAAUGACUGAGUGACAGCUGCUGCACUGACAUUUGUACUUUGACCCCAUGACACAGCCAGGUUUUACAGAGGUGAAGUUUCCAGUAUGACUGGAAUUCAAGGCCAGGUCACAGCUCAAUGCAUAAGCAUCCAGCAGGACGGUGGGUCUCACAGUUCUGUCACUGGGACGACAGUUUGUGUAGGUGGGGAGGGCGUGACCCUGAGCGCCACCCACCCAGGCAGAGGGCCUGAGGAAGGUGCCCUGUGGUUGGUCCUGUGGCCCCUGCUACCCCAUGUCAGGGGUAAAACCAUCC